CUUAAAGCCAGCCACCCCCACGGCAACAUGUACCCCAGCAACAAGAAGAAAAAGGUGUGGAGAGAGGAGAAAGAACGUUUAUUGAAGAUGACCUUAGAAGAGAGACGCAAAGAAUACCUAAGAGACUAUAUUCCCCUGAACAGCAUUCUAUCAUGGAAGGAGGAGAUGAAGGGCAAGGGCCAAAAUGAUGAAGAAAAUACUCAGGAAACAUCCCAGGUGAAGAAAAGUUUGACUGAAAAAGUUUCUCUCUAUAGAGGUGACAUCACAUUGCUAGAGGUAGAUGCUAUAGUCAAUGCCGCAAAUGCCAGUCUUCUUGGAGGAGGAGGUGAUGGGUCAGAGUCCCCUUUAGGACUGAAGCACUCUCCCUUCUGCUGAGAGUUUGGUCAGGCAAUAAUUUUCAGCUGAUUCCUUCUCCAAGAAUUUUCCUCAGAGACAGCUGCCUUGCCUAAGAUUAUGGCCUCUCCCUGAGGAUGGCCUGCCAGCAAUUACUCAUGAUGUAACAUACGAAAGUCCAACUGCCUUGCCUGUAGGUUGGAAAACUCUAAAGGGCUAUUUUCCAGGGAACCCAAACCACAGCACAGCAUUAACACUUACCAUGAGUAAUCCUUAGGAACAUAGGAAUUCUAAUAGUAUAAAUUGUUGCAAUGUCUUUUUAAAGCAAUCUCACAUAAUCAGUUAAAAAGACAAACACGUAAA
This 696-nucleotide small RNA is filed under the name Pan troglodytes (chimpanzee). Its description in RNAcentral is "processed transcript". Lineage: Eukaryota; Metazoa; Chordata; Mammalia; Primates; Hominidae. The record is from RNAcentral.